RNAcentral lists this ribosomal RNA (3841 nucleotides) under Triticum aestivum (bread wheat). Its description in RNAcentral is "partial small subunit ribosomal RNA". The record is from RNAcentral. Lineage: Eukaryota; Viridiplantae; Streptophyta; Magnoliopsida; Poales; Poaceae.
UAUAUUUGAUAUAUUGUGUUUUUAAUAUGGAAAACUUUUAUCUUGUAGACUUCAAAUAUAACCAUAUAAAAAACAUUAUAUACUGAACAUAAUCCAAUCAGUUUAACUGCUGGAUCCCCAUGCGCGUGCGGGACAUUUGACUCUCUCUCCUUCAUGUGUACACUCAUUGUUCGGCCGGCGGGCAAGGAUGCUUCUUCACACGCACGUGAAAAAUCUAAAAUCCUACUAUAAGUUGAUAGAUCAUUAGAGUACUCAAUUUUUCUCCUUCCGUUCUGAUACCUUUGUAUACCCACUAAACUCAUGUCAAGUUUGUUUUGGAUGUAUCCAUAUGUAUCCAACGGUAUACCUCGACAUUUGGUUCUGUCUCCGAUGGGUUCCGUCUUGUAGUUUGUCACUGUUUUCUUGUAGUUUCGUAAUAUAUCUUGUGAACCGUUAUGUGUCUCGUCUCUCGGAUUACGAACUUGAGACUAUCUCAAUAGUUAAAUUCGAAAUUUGUGAUAACACUUCCUCAAAAUGCAUCCGACGUCGUGGUCUCAUGUACUUAGGUUUUUUUGAUUGGUAAUCUUAAUUCAGGGUACUCGGAUCAUAAAUCUUUGGAUAUUCAGACCCACUUGUAUUCUAGUAAGUCCCGUGCCACAUCCUCUUAGUUUGUGAUAUACGUCAGGUAGUUUUAAGUUAGAACAAGCUUUGUCCCUUAUAGUAGACAUCGAUUGUUCUAGUUGGUAGUAACUCAGAUGUUUGUAAGUUCUUUAGUUUUAGUCUAACAGUUUCUUGGAUACGUUAGUUCUCCUUUAUUUACCCUCCUUCUACCGUGUUUUCAUGUCGACGUCUUUAACAUGUUUAUCUACCGAUCCGUUCUUGAACUAUUUGAUAAGAACGGACGCUAACUUCGUCGUUCAUUCUCCGCCACCUUCUCCUGCUUCUUUCGAAUGGACCACCGGCCGUCUAAGUUACGAGCCGCUCCCGCCUGUGCCCUUUCCACUCCGGCCCCCGCCUCCCCGACCCCGGGGCCUCCAGCCACAUAGACACGGCCUCCAGUCGCCAUCUAUGUGGUGGUUGGGUACUCUUUUAGGUCGCGGCGGCGGCAGCGGUCCUUCGAGCGGAGGCUGGAGCAUCCCUUCUUCUAUGACCCUCAUUCACGCCAAAUACUAAGAUAUACACGGACAUACACAUAAUUAAAGAUCGCUCUGUGUGUUACUAGUAUCAUUGAUUUACUAUACACAACACAUCGAUAAAGAUUUAUCUUAUCGUGGACUUGAACGAAACGAACAUGAUAAACAGUUUGUCGUUCUUUUGUCCCCUAGUUGUCCACACACAUAAAUAAUCCGUCAUACGUAUCACAGUCGUCUUUUGUUUAAAGCAAGAGACGUCCGUCGUUUUUUUUAAGAAUUUUAUCUCUUCUCCCUUUAUCUCGCCUGUGUAAUGUACAUAUGAUAUGGUAAUAAGUUGUAAAGUACAGAUACUAGCUUGUUACUCGUGAUUAAGCCAUUAAUCUUCCAGUACAGUGCGUGUUGUCUAUGUUCGUUACUGUCUAGGAAUUUGACAGUCUUGAGAACUCGUUUUAACUUGUGCUGUUUCGUAAAUUCCACGGUCCAAACUCUCCACGUUGUCACUUUUAACUUGUGCUGUUUCGUAAAUUCCACGGUCCAAACUCUCCACGUUAUCACAGUGGAGUCUUCUUACACCCGGAACUGCAGGUCCUACCACGUCAUGUACUUCGCGAGAUCCAACCUGCAGACGGUGGGCGGGAGUUGGGAGAUGCUCACUUCAAACCUUGUCCCGAUCUUGCCGGGUUCAAUAAAAAACAGCAGUAGGUUGUUUAUGGCCAUCCUUGAGAAGCGCAAGUUACCUACUUAGUAAAAUAGGAUAAAGUUUUAUGAUUAGUUUUCGACUAAGAAGAAUGUUACUGUACGGUGUAAAUUCAAUACGAAGUCAAUUAGGAUGGCGUUAUUUUGAUUGGGUCAUCAUAUAUAAGUUUUUAAAGUCUAAAGUUGUGUACCUGGUACCGUUAGACACCAUUUUGUCCUUUUUUACGAGUAUUGAUACAUAAUUAGUAUCAAAUCCUAUACUUUUAAAACGAAACGUCAGUAGAUAUACCGACGUAACUCAUUACUGAUUAAAACUAUAGGACGUUAUACCUAGGAAUAUUUGUCCUAUCUAUGAGGAAAGACCUUGUUUUUAAUUAGUUUGUGACAGCAUAUAAAUCCUUGGUAUGUUUAGAUGUUUCAUACGUCGUAUCAUAUAUAUAUACGUAGUUUACUUCAGAGAAAGGGAUGUCCUACUAUAAGGAUAGAUGCUUGGCAUCCUCCGGAUUUGUUGUUGAGUCAAAAUCCGUAGUGACGUCUCGCGGCCGCCGGCCUCUACCGCGGCAGAGACGAUCGAUUUAUUCGUAGGUUGUGUUUUUACUCGACUAGUGUUUGUGUCUAUCAAAGUUAUGGGUUUAUACAUAGCGGUAUUGAGAUCAAGAGGUUUGACUCCUUGGUUGUUUCGGAUAGAAAGUAAAGUUCUUAUGAAGUUCCACUUAUACUUUGAGGUUCCGAAUGUAAACGUCAUUUAAAGUGUUGAUAUAAGAAAGACGAUUCUACAGUAGAUAUUAGCAUUUCCUUUUGACGUACUUUUCCAUUUUUGUUACUAUUCAAAUAUGCUCAAUCUAUUACACGGAGCAACUAAACGUAAGGAAUUUAGGUAACGGUACCUUCAUCGACUACGUGAGUUGGACAAAAAGUCCUACUAGGUAGUGGAUUUCUUUUCACUCUUGUGUAAUUAUUAAACUUCCACAAUUCGAUGUAGACGCAUUAUUUCACAUCUGAAUUUGGUUACAAAAAGAAACUUUCCUAUCGUCCCUAUACGGGGUUUCGAUCAAUAGGUGCUAUGUAAAUAAGACAUUUUUGAUUGUUUAUUUCUGGUCACAUAGUCGUUUGUUAUAUAGAAACCAAUCCUUGCAUUAUAUCUUACCACGUCAAAUGAUAGGCCGGGACUAAGUCUUUAGUUUCGUAUACACACGCACUUUUUGUUACCGUACAAAUAGAACGUUCUACGCACCCUUAGGGUGUUCUUAGUUUACGGAUUUCCUAGAGGAGGGGUGACCUAGGUCACAGUCGUUCGGGGACUCUACUACUUGUGCCACUUUUGUUUUAACUCGUGGUAUCUUUUUAACCCUUAUUCCGUUGUCCCUUUUUACGAUCUGGCCUCGUAACCUGGAUCCGCUACUGAUGCUUGGACUGCCAACACUACCUACUGCUCCUGGAGGAGGAGGAUGAACUACACCACUACAUCCUCUUCCCGGUGGGGACGAGGAGGUGUUCGUGGUGUUCUGGUCCGGUGGGAAAGAGAAGCCGCCGCUGCUGGACGCGGUUAGGCCUUGGUGCUGUGUGGAGAGGGUGCCGCCACUGGACGCGACUAGGCGUUGGUGCGGGGUGCCGCCGACGUUGCCCGGCAUGCGAGGAGUGCGGAGUGCUGGUCGCGUGACCGCGGCCGCCCCUCUCCUCUCCUCGGUUGCCCCUCUCCGUGCUGGUCGCACGACCGCGGCUGCCCCUCUCCUCUCCUCAGUUGCCCCUCUCCUCGGCUGCCGGCACCGGAGGAGAAGGAGUGCGCAGACAGGAGAGGAGGAGCGAGAGGCGUGCGGCGCUGGGUGCGUGAGCGCGGCUGCCCCUCUCCUCUCCUGAGCCGCCGCCAUUCUUCCCUACUCCCAUCGCCCUCCUUCUUCUCCUGUCCUCCAUCCCAGGCCGUACCCCGUCUCCUCUCGCCGCCGCCACCGCCGCCGUCCGCCUAGGCCGUGCCCCGUCUUCCUUCCCCACCACCGCCGUUCCCCCCGAGCCCCCCUGCGCCCCCGCCCGCUGCC